This is a long non-coding RNA of Ahaetulla prasina, 832 nucleotides long. RefSeq lists it as uncharacterized. The record is from RefSeq and is a predicted model, not a curated record. NCBI's taxonomy places the organism in Eukaryota, Metazoa, Chordata, Lepidosauria, Squamata, Colubridae. The transcript is spliced from 4 exons.
AGGAGACCUUAGAGAAUCGAAAUCUUAUUGUGUUCCCACUGGAUUGUUUGAUACAUCCCAUUCACAUCGCCUAGAGUCUGUUUCAAAACAGUUGCAUGUGGCAGGCUUUUAAAAUUACCUGCCAAGUGGAAGGGAGGACGACAUGGCAGCUAAGCCAAAGACUGUCAGAACUGGAAUGCUAUACAAAUCCUGAAAUCCUGGAAGAAGUCUAAAGCCGAAAAGUGACUGGUUCUAUCAAGCAUAAUCAACUCCAACCACUGCCUUUCCAAUGCGCUGAAAUAAAGACUACAGAAUUUCCAAAUCAUCCUGAAUUCUUGCCACCACCAAUGAAGAAAACUUUGACCUAAGGCAUUAUACAUUCCUUCAAAAUGUGGUAAGAGACUGAAUUAAAAAAGGCUGGAGAAAGUAAACAAGAAAUGCAGAUAAAAAUGUACUUGCUCGUGAUGGAAAAAGCAGCGACAGGAAUAAUUCAAAUAACCAGAGGUAAAUCAAGUAGCCAGGGUUUAAGACCUGGUGCCAUAGUGGUUAGAAUGCAGCAUUGCAAGUAAUGUCUGUCCACAGUCUGGAGUUCGAUCCUGAUGGGCUCAAGGUUGACUCAGCCUUCCAAGAUCCCUCGCAUCCUGGACAUAAACUGUUUCAACUCCUACCCUCAAAACGACGCUAUAGAGCACUGCACACCAGAACAACUAGACACAAGAACAGUUUUUUCCCGAAGGCCAUCACUCUGCUAAACAAAUAAUUCCCUCAACACAGUCAGACUAUUUACUGAAUCUACACUACUAUUAAUCGUUUCAUAGUUCCUGUUAUGUAUCUUUAAAUAUUUAGGCGGGAA